This 233-nucleotide ribosomal RNA is filed under the name uncultured bacterium. RNAcentral's name for it is "partial 16S ribosomal RNA". It matches the Rfam family "Bacterial small subunit ribosomal RNA", at positions 100 to 334 of the family's 1533-position model. The record is from RNAcentral.
CGGGACGGGUGAGUAAUGUCUGGGAAACUGCCUGAUGGAGGGGGAUGACUACUGGAAACGGUAGCUAAUACCGCAUAACGUCGCAAGACCAAAGAGGGGGACCUUAGGGCCUCUUGCCAUCGGAUGUGCCCAGAUGGGAUUAGCUAGUAGGUGGGGUAACGGCUCACCUAGGCGACGAUCCCUAGCUGGUCUGAGAGGAUGACCAGCCACACUGGAACUGAGACACGGUCCAG